AACGAACGCUGGCGGCGUGGAUAAGACAUGCAAGUCGAACGGGAUUACUUCUGGUAGCAAUACCGGAGGUAAUUUAGUGGCGAACGGGUGCGUAACACGUGGGGAAUCUGCCGAGAAGUGGGGGAUAGCUCGUCGAAAGGCGAAUUAAUACCGCAUAUGAUCAGCCAAGACAUCUUGGCGACAUCAAAGCCGGGGCAACCUGGCGCUUCUUGAUGACCCCCGCGGCCUACAGCUAGUUGGUGAGGUAACGGCCCACCAAGGCUAUGACGGGUAGCUGGUCUGAGAGGACGACCAGUCACACUGGAACUGAGAC
RNAcentral lists this ribosomal RNA (313 nucleotides) under uncultured bacterium. RNAcentral describes it as "bacterial SSU rRNA". It matches the Rfam family "Bacterial small subunit ribosomal RNA", at positions 29 to 325 of the family's 1533-position model. The record is from RNAcentral.